Molecule: ribosomal RNA, 233 nt
Filed under: uncultured bacterium
Lineage: Bacteria
Description: partial 16S ribosomal RNA
Rfam family: Bacterial small subunit ribosomal RNA
Source: RNAcentral
UACGUAGGGGGCAAGCGUUGUCCGGAUUUAUUGGGCGUAAAGAGCGUGUAGGCGGCCAUGUAGGUCCGUUGUGAAAACUCGAGGCUCAACCUCGAGACGCCGAUGGAAACCAUGUGGCUAGAGUCCGGAAGAGGAGAGUGGAAUUCCUGGUGUAGCGGUGAAAUGCGCAGAUAUCAGGAAGAACACCCGUGGCUAAGGCGGCUCUCUAGUACGGUACUGACGCUGAGACGCGA